Molecule: ribosomal RNA, 458 nt
Filed under: uncultured bacterium
Lineage: Bacteria
Description: partial 16S ribosomal RNA
Rfam family: Bacterial small subunit ribosomal RNA
Source: RNAcentral
AACGAACGCUGGCGGCAUGCCUAACACAUGCAAGUCGAACGAGACCUUCGGGUCUAGUGGCGCACGGGUGCGUAACGCGUGGGAACCUGCCCUUAGGUUCGGAAUAACUCCCCGACAGGGGUGCUAAUACCGGAUAAUGUCUUCGGACCAAAGAUUUAUCGCCUUUGGAUGGGCCCGCGUUGGAUUAGCUAGUUGGUAGGGUAAAAGCCUACCAAGGCGACGAUGCAUAGCUGGUCUGAGAGGAUGAUCAGCCACACUGGGACUGAGACACGGCCCAGACACCGAGGGGAGGCAGCAGGAGGGAAUCUGCCGCAAUGGGCGAAGGCCGGACGGAGCAACGCGGCGUGAGGGAUGAAGGUCUGCGGAGCGUAAAACUCUGUUAUUAGGGAAGAACAAAUGGGUAAGUAACUAUGCACGUCAUGACGGUACCUAAGCAGAAAGCCACGGCUAACUACGUG